GACAGAGGGUGCAAACGUUGUUCGGAUUUACUGGGCGUAAAGCGCGUGUAGGCGGCCUUGCAAGUCGGAUGUGAAAGCCCACGGCUCAACCGUGGAAGUGCAUCCGAAACUGCAUAGCUUGAGUGCGGGAGAGGGAAGCGGAAUUCCUGGUGUAGAGGUGAAAUUCGUAGAUAUCAGGAGGAACACCGGUGGCGAAAGCGGCUUCCUGGCCCGACACUGACGCUCAUGUACGAAAGCGUGGGGAGCAAACAGG
Molecule: ribosomal RNA, 253 nt
Filed under: uncultured bacterium
Lineage: Bacteria
Description: partial 16S ribosomal RNA
Rfam family: Bacterial small subunit ribosomal RNA
Source: RNAcentral